CCUACGGGUGGCUGCAGUGGGGAAUAUUGCGCAAUGGGCGAAAGCCUGACGCAGCGACGCCGCGUGAGGGAUGAAGGUCUUCGGAUCGUAAACCUCUGUCAGCAGGGAAGAACGGUCACGGUGCUAAGCAGCAGUGAAUUGACGGUACCGGCAAAGGAAGCACCGGCUAACGCCGUGCCAGCAGCCGCGGGAAUACGGAGGGUGCGAGCGUUAAUCGGAAUUACUGGGCGGAAAGCGCUCGUAGGCGGUAUGUCAAGACAAGGGUGAAAUCCCCGCGCUCAACGUGGGAACUGCCUUUGAAACUGGCAAACUGGAGUGUGUGCGAGGAUAGUGGAAUUCCUGUUGU
This 346-nucleotide ribosomal RNA is filed under the name uncultured bacterium. RNAcentral's name for it is "partial 16S ribosomal RNA". It matches the Rfam family "Bacterial small subunit ribosomal RNA", at positions 338 to 676 of the family's 1533-position model. The record is from RNAcentral.